Molecule: ribosomal RNA, 495 nt
Filed under: uncultured bacterium
Lineage: Bacteria
Description: partial 16S ribosomal RNA
Rfam family: Bacterial small subunit ribosomal RNA
Source: RNAcentral
GACGAACGCUGGCGGCGUGCCUAAUACAUGCAAGUAGAACGCUGAAGGAGGAGCUUGCUUCUCUGGAUGAGUUGCGAACGGGUGAGUAACGCGUAGGUAACCUGCCUGGUAGCGGGGGAUAACUAUUGGAAACGAUAGCUAAUACCGCAUAAUAGUAGAUGUUGCAUGACAUUUGCUUAAAAGGUGCAAUUGCAUCACUACCAGAUGGACCUGCGUUGUAUUAGCUAGUUGGUGAGGUAACGGCUCACCAAGGCAACGAUACAUAGCCGACCUGAGAGGGUGAUCGGCCACACUGGGACUGAGACACGGCCCAGACUCCUACGGGAGGCAGCAGUAGGGAAUCUUCGGCAAUGGACGGAAGUCUGACCGAGCAACGCCGCGUGAGUGAAGAAGGUUGUCGGAUCGUAAAGCUCUGUUGUAAGAGAAGAACGAGUGUGAGAGUGGAAAGUUCACACUGUGACGGUAGCUGACCAGAAAGGGACGGCUAACUACGUG